RNA transcript from Nomascus leucogenys (northern white-cheeked gibbon), 2705 nucleotides. It is a transcript of the gene named DEAD-box helicase 55, with no coding region annotated. The transcript is spliced from 14 exons. Lineage: Eukaryota; Metazoa; Chordata; Mammalia; Primates; Hylobatidae. The record is from RefSeq and is a predicted model, not a curated record.
AGUGCUCGUUGGGGGUGCACAGGGCGCGUUCGAGCAGCGGCUACCGAGGCAGCGAAGGAGCGCGCCAUGGAGCAUGUGACGGAGGGCUCCUGGGAGUCGCUGCCAGUGCCGCUGCACCCGCAGGUGCUGGGCGCGCUGCGGGAGCUGGGCUUCCCGUACAUGACGCCGGUGCAGUCCGCAACCAUCCCUCUGUUCAUGCGAAACAAAGAUGUCGCUGCAGAAGCGGUCACAGGUAGUGGCAAAACACUCGCUUUUGUCAUCCCCAUCCUGGAAAUUCUUCUGAGAAGAGAAGAGAAGUUAAAAAAGAGUCAGGUUGGGGCCAUAAUCAUCACCCCCACUCGAGAGCUGGCCAUUCAAAUAGACGAGGUCCUGUCGCAUUUCACGAAGCACUUCCCUGAGUUCAGUCAGAUUCUUUGGAUCGGAGGCAGGAAUCCUGGAGAAGAUGUUGAGAGGUUUAAGCAACAAGGUGGGAACAUCAUUGUGGCCACUCCAGGCCGCUUGGAGGACAUGUUCCGGAGGAAGGCGGAAGGCUUGGAUCUGGCCAGCUGUGUGCGAUCCCUGGAUGUCCUGGUGUUGGAUGAGGCAGACAGACUUCUGGACAUGGGGUUUGAGGCAAGCAUCAACACCAUCCUGGAGUUUUUGCCAAAGCAGAGGAGAACAGGCCUUUUCUCUGCCACUCAGACGCAGGAAGUGGAGAACCUGGUGAGAGCGGGCCUCCGGAACCCUGUCCGGGUCUCAGUGAAGGAGAAGGGCGUGGCAGCCAGCAGUGCCCAGAAGACCCCCUCCCGCCUGGAAAACUACUACAUGGUAUGCAAGGCAGAUGAGAAAUUUAAUCAGCUGGUCCAUUUUCUUCGCAAUCAUAAGCAGGAGAAACAUCUGGUCUUCUUCAGCACCUGUGCCUGUGUGGAAUACUAUGGGAAGGCUCUGGAGGCGCUGGUGAAGGGCGUGAAGAUUAUGUGCAUUCAUGGAAAGAUGAAAUAUAAACGCAAUAAGAUCUUCAUGGAGUUCCGCAAAUUGCAAAGUGGGAUUUUAGUGUGCACUGAUGUGAUGGCCCGGGGAAUUGAUAUUCCUGAAGUCAACUGGGUUUUGCAGUAUGACCCUCCCAGCAAUGCAAGUGCCUUCGUGCAUCGCUGCGGUCGCACAGCCCGCAUUGGCCACGGGGGCAGCGCUCUGGUGUUCCUCCUGCCCAUGGAAGAGUCAUACAUCAAUUUCCUUGCAAUUAACCAAAAAGUUGUGAUGGAGCCCUGGGGAUGUGAUGCCAGCAAGGGAAGGUGAGAAUGUGGUGUGUGUGUGUGUGUAGUGCCCCCUGCAGGAGAUGAAGCUCCAGAGAAACACAGCGGACCUUCUGCCAAAACUCAAGUCCAUGGCCCUGGCCGACAGAGCUGUGUUUGAAAAGGGCAUGAAAGCUUUUGUGUCGUAUGUCCAGGCUUAUGCAAAGCAUGAAUGCAACCUGAUUUUCAGAUUAAAGGAUCUUGAUUUUGCCAGCCUUGCUCGAGGUUUUGCCCUGCUGAGGAUGCCCAAGAUGCCAGAAUUGAGAGGAAAGCAGUUUCCAGAUUUUGUGCCCGUGGACGUUAAUACCGACACGAUUCCAUUUAAAGAUAAAAUCAGAGAAAAGCAGAGGCAGAAACUCCUGGAGCAACAAAGAAGAGAGAAAACAGAAAAUGAAGGGAGAAGAAAAUUCAUAAAAAAUAAAGCUUGGUCGAAGCAGAAGGCCAAAAAAGAAAAGAAGAAAAAAAUGAAUGAGAAAAGGAAAAGGGAAGAGGGUUCUGAUAUUGAAGAUGAGGACAUGGAAGAACUUCUUAAUGACACAAGACUCUUGAAAAAACUUAAGAAAGGCAAAAUAACUGAAGAAGAAUUUGAGAAGGGCUUGUUGACAACUGGCAAAAGAACAAUCAAGACAGCAGAUUUAGGGAUCUCAGAUUUGGAAGAUGACUGAUGAUUCUAGCGCCACAGAUGAACCCACAAGGACAUAGCUGUUCCCUAACUUGGUGGAUGGCUCCAGUUUGCUUUUAAUGGAAAUCACAACUUCAGGAGACAUCUGAGAAGAAUCAUGUGUCUGAAAGCUGUCCUUUCAGACGAGGGAGAAAUGGAGGAUUUCACACUUGGGAAUAUUUUACUAAAAACAUUCCAGUCUUGGCCGGGUGCGGUGGCUUCUGCCUAUAAUCCCAGCACUUUGGGAGGCUGAGGCAGGAGGAUCACUUGAGCCCAGGAGUUCAAGACCAGCCUGGGAACACAGCAAGACCCUCUCAUUAAAAACAACAAAACAAAACAAUUCCAGUCUUGAAGUAGUCUAACAGAAGAAAAUGUAAAAUUAUUUGAGUGUAAAUAAUAGAUGUCAGUAUUUAUCAUGAUGGGUCACAUAUAUAGACAUAUGUACAUAUUAUAUAUAUAUAUAUAUAAGCUUUUUUCGGAGGCUAUUUCAUAGUUAUUUUAAACAUAAAGAUACUGAAGUAUUCUUGACUUCUGAUUUUCAAAACCAUUCCUCAGUAUCUUCAGGCAUCUGACCUCCUGAAUGUCCUUGGCCCUGGGCUUCAGUUAUCCUUUGAUGCCCUGCAGAGGUGGCUAAUAUGCUGGGGUUUUUGUGUUAAGAAUAGUCCCAGUAUUGUUUUAUUGGUGAAUAGCUGAAAAACAGAGGGAUUAAGUCAUAUUCCGGGAAAGAGAAUUACAGUUUUUAUGCCUCCUGUUGAAUAAAUGGUGUCCUGAUU